Molecule: long non-coding RNA, 1568 nt
Organism: Rosa rugosa (rugosa rose)
Lineage: Eukaryota; Viridiplantae; Streptophyta; Magnoliopsida; Rosales; Rosaceae
Exons: 3
Source: RefSeq, a predicted model, not a curated record
UCAUCUUAAUAUUAAGCUUAUGUUAAUCUUAAUUAUAUUUUGUGUUCUUAGAUUGAGUACAAUCUUAUUUUAGUUUUACAUUUGGUAUCAGAGCCUUUUGUAAAUUAAGAAUCAAAAUGUUUUGGACCGAUUGAUCUUAAAAAAGAGGGGGAAGAGCAUGUGUUUUAAAUAAUAAAAAAAUAGUGCUGCAGAUUAUUUGAAAACAAAAUUGUAGAGGGUCGACCCUGGGUCAAACCAGGUUUUUAAUCAAAACCCAAAAACCUUUGGUGUUAAAAAAAAAAAGUUCUUUCUUUCCGGGCGUUGUUCUCUCUCUGGCGCGCGAAGUACAAAAGAGAAGAGAAACCUGUUUUGUCAAAAUCGUUUUAUGGGUUUUGUUUUAGAUAGUUUUGCAACUCGAUUGAGGUAUGCUUUCAUGUUGUUGCUAUUUCCAAGUUGCAGGAUAAUUUUGCUUCCAGGAUAUAGGAUAUCUAUUUGGUUCCUUUCAGCAUGUUUGGAUGGGAUCUUGGCCAAGCUGGAAUAGUAUGGAGGAGAAGCUAGAAACAGCUUAGAAAAGGAAGAGGAAAAUGUAACUAGUUCUAGAUAGGCACCUUGCAUCCGUCGACAGUGAAGAAUUGUUGAGAGGGAGGGGCCUCCACAUGCCUAUACAAGGAGGGCCUCACGGCAUUAGAAGGGAUUCCUGCCACUUGGAGCAAGUUAUGAACUCAACAGAGGCAUGUAACUUGUAUCUAUGUUUCAUGCAUAGUGAAAACCCUAAAACACCCUGAAGUGGACGUAGCCUGAUAACCAUUGUACUGGGUGACAAAAGCAGCUGGCACCCAGUAUUAGAUUGUGAUUAGAAUCACAAUCAAAAUGGUUACAGUACGUCUCAGCUGUAACCAUUUUGAUUGUGAUUUUAGUUACAGUACGUCUUGAUAUUUCGACCGGACAAGAUUUGACCGGCUGGUGAAUUCGAGUUUGUACCGACUGGCCAGAACAUCCAUAGCUUUUCUCAGCUGAUCUGGGAGAAGAGAGCACACGUACAGUAAGAGAUUUUAUUAACCAUGGAAGAAAGGAUGCAUUGCAUUGACGAAGCGAAUUAAGGACAACCAAGAGUCUGCAACUCUGCAUAUAUGCCAAACUUGCCAAACUCACAUGGGAUUCAUCUAGCACGGGACCCAGGGAUGGUGUACUUGUUGACCCUAACUAGAUAGAGCCUUAUCACUGGUUUAGUUGCGUGUGCAUACGCUUUAGACUUGAUUAUCUCUUUGGCAUUAAAGCUUAAGAUGGAGACAUUUUAUGCAAAAAAAAUGAACAAACACAAGAAAGCUGGGAGAACGCGAAACGUAGUGGGGAUGUAAGGAGAAAGCCCAAGUUUAGGGUCAGGGAUUCAAUAAUAUUGGCAGAAUGGCAUCUAUUUAAAUCUCAGCCCUAGCCCUAGCUCCUUUUUCUUUCUUUGCUUUCUGUAAUGGUGACAUGUGAAAGUUUUGCAAUUAAUAAUGAGUGGCUUCGAGAAAUUAUAUGAGCGAUACUUAUAACCUCUAUGGUCACAUACAUGAUACAUGUAUGAGGGCUGGCUCCUCCUUCAAGGA